GAUGAACGCUGGCGGCGUGCUUAACACAUGCAAGUCGAACGAUGAAGCCCAGCUUGCUGGGUGGAUUAGUGGCGAACGGGUGAGUAACACGUGAGUAACCUGCCCUUAACUCUGGGAUAAGCCUGGGAAACUGGGUCUAAUACCGGAUAGGAGCGCCUACCGCAUGGUGGGUGUUGGAAAGAUUUAUCGGUUUUGGAUGGACUCGCGGCCUAUCAGCUUGUUGGUGAGGUAAUGGCUCACCAAGGCGACGACGGGUAGCCGGCCUGAGAGGGUGACCGGCCACACUGGGACUGAGACACGGCCCAGACUCCUACGGGAGGCAGCAGUGGGGAAUAUUGCACAAUGGGCGCAAGCCUGAUGCAGCGACGCCGCGUGAGGGAUGACGGCCUUCGGGUUGUAAACCUCUUUCAGUAGGGAAGAAGCGAAAGUGACGGUACCUGCAGAAGAAGCACCGGCUAACUACGUGCCAGCAGCCGCGGUAAUACGUAGGGUGCGAGCGUUAUCCGGAAUUAUUGGGCGUAAAGAGCUCGUAGGCGGUUUGUCGCGUCUGUCGUGAAAGUCCGGGGCUUAACCCCGGAUCUGCGGUGGGUACGGGCAGACUAGAGUGCAGUAGGGGAGACUGGAAUUCCUGGUGUAGCGGUGGAAUGCGCAGAUAUCAGGAGGAACACUGAUGGCGAAGGCAGGUCUCUGGCUGUAACUGACGCUGAGGAGCGAAAGCAUGGGGAGCGAACAGGAUUAGAUACCCUGGUAGUCCAUGCCGUAAACGUUGGGCACUAGGUGUGGGGACCAUUCCACGGUUUCCGCGCCGCAGCUAACGCAUUAAGUGCCCCGCCUGGGGAGUACGGCCGCAAGGCUAAAACUCAAAGGAAUUGACGGGGGCCCGCACAAGCGGCGGAGCAUGCGGAUUAAUUCGAUGCAACGCGAAGAACCUUACCAAGGCUUGACAUGUUCUCGAUCGCCGUAGAGAUACGGUUUCCCCUUUGGGGCGGGUUCACAGGUGGUGCAUGGUUGUCGUCAGCUCGUGUCGUGAGAUGUUGGGUUAAGUCCCGCAACGAGCGCAACCCUCGUUCCAUGUUGCCAGCACGUAAUGGUGGGGACUCAUGGGAGACUGCCGGGGUCAACUCGGAGGAAGGUGAGGACGACGUCAAAUCAUCAUGCCCCUUAUGUCUUGGGCUUCACGCAUGCUACAAUGGCCGGUACAAUGGGUUGCGAUACUGUGAGGUGGAGCUAAUCCCAAAAAGCCGGUCUCAGUUCGGAUUGGGGUCUGCAACUCGACCCCAUGAAGUCGGAGUCGCUAGUAAUCGCAGAUCAGCAACGCUGCGGUGAAUACGUUCCCGGGCCU
Molecule: ribosomal RNA, 1342 nt
Filed under: uncultured bacterium
Lineage: Bacteria
Description: bacterial SSU rRNA
Rfam family: Bacterial small subunit ribosomal RNA
Source: RNAcentral